Molecule: ribosomal RNA, 246 nt
Filed under: bacterium enrichment culture clone ALO1_GLFRUDD03GYBPK
Lineage: Bacteria
Description: partial 16S ribosomal RNA
Rfam family: Bacterial small subunit ribosomal RNA
Source: RNAcentral
GAGUUUGAUCGUGGCUCAGAUUGAACGCUGGCGGCAUGCCUUACACAUGCAAGUCGAACGGCAGCACGGGAGCUUGCUCCUGGUGGCGAGUGGCGAACGGGUGAGUAAUGCAUCGGAACGUAUCCUGGAGUGGGGGAUAACGUAGCAAAAGUUACGCUAAUACCGCAUAGUUCUGUGAGCAGGAAAGCGGGGGACCUUCGGGCCUCGCGCUCUUGGAGCGGCCGAUGUCGGAUUAGCUAGUUGGUG